UAUUAUACUAAAAGUUAAUAUUUAAAACUAGAAUACUAUAAGAUAUAUUCUUUAAAUUUGAAGAAUUUGGCGGUAGUUUAGUCUUUUCAGAGGAACUUGUUUUUUAAUCGACAAACCACGAAUAAUCUUACUUGUUUUAAUUAUAAGUUUGUAUACCGUCAUUAUCAGAUAAUAUUUAAAGAAUAAUUAUUAAAUUUUAUAAAUUAAUAAAAUUAGAUCAAGGUGCAGCCAAUAAACAAGGAAAAAUGAGUUACAAUUAAUUAUAUAUAAUUAUGGAGUGAAAUAUGUAAAAUUUUAUGAAGGAGGAUUUGAUUGUAAUAUGAAUUAAUAAGACAUAAAGAUAUAAGCUCUAAACUAU
Molecule: ribosomal RNA, 358 nt
Filed under: Acanthonyx petiverii
Lineage: Eukaryota; Metazoa; Arthropoda; Malacostraca; Decapoda; Epialtidae
Description: partial small subunit ribosomal RNA
Source: RNAcentral